Non-coding RNA from Phrynosoma platyrhinos (Desert horned lizard), 70 nucleotides. Lineage: Eukaryota; Metazoa; Chordata; Lepidosauria; Squamata; Phrynosomatidae. The record is from the annotation of a GenBank genome assembly.
GUCAGUGUGGUAUAAUGGUUUCAGUGUUGGACUGUGACUGGAGACCAGGCUUCGAUUCCCUGCUCAGCCA